RNAcentral lists this transfer RNA (63 nucleotides) under Aphidius colemani. RNAcentral describes it as "tRNA-Gly". Lineage: Eukaryota; Metazoa; Arthropoda; Insecta; Hymenoptera; Braconidae. The record is from RNAcentral. RNAcentral also lists the same sequence under 1 other name.
AUUUAUAUAGUAUAAAAAGUAUUUUUAAUUUCCAAUUAAAAGGUUUAUAAAUUAAUAUAAAUA